This 323-nucleotide RNase P RNA is filed under the name Flavobacterium sp. YO64. Its description in RNAcentral is "RNase P RNA component class A". It matches the Rfam family "Bacterial RNase P class A". Rfam says of the family: Ribonuclease P (RNase P) is a ubiquitous endoribonuclease, found in archaea, bacteria and eukarya as well as chloroplasts and mitochondria. Its best characterised activity is the generation of mature 5'-ends of tRNAs by cleaving the 5'-leader elements of precursor-tRNAs. Cellular RNase Ps are ribonucleoproteins. RNAcentral also lists the same sequence under 1 other name. Lineage: Bacteria; Pseudomonadati; Bacteroidota; Flavobacteriia; Flavobacteriales; Flavobacteriaceae. The record is from RNAcentral.
AGCGCAGACCGCCUUAUCGCCGCUCCAAUUUUAUUGGAGGGGAGGAAAGUCCGGACACCACAGAGAAGCAUAGCGGGUAACGCCCGUCGGUCCCGAUAGCUAUCGGGAUUAGGACAAGUGCAGCAGAAAGUAUGUACAGGUAAUGCUGUAGUGAAACCAGGUAAACUCUAUGCGGUGAAAUACCAAGUAUAUCAACAUUUAAGGGCUUCUCGUUCGUUGUUGAAGGGUAGGUAGCUCGAGUUCCGAAGUAAUUCGGAAUCUAGAUAAAUGAUAAGGCCUUGAUUUAUCAAGGACAGAAUCCGGCUUAUAGGUCUGCUUUUUUU